This 254-nucleotide ribosomal RNA is filed under the name uncultured bacterium. Its description in RNAcentral is "partial 16S ribosomal RNA". It matches the Rfam family "Bacterial small subunit ribosomal RNA", at positions 524 to 776 of the family's 1533-position model. The record is from RNAcentral.
GACAUAGGUGGCGAACGUUAUCCGGAUUUAUUGGGCGUAAAGGAUGCGUAGAUGGUGGAAUAAGUUAUUGGUCAAAGUCAAGCUCAACUUGGCGGAAGCUGGUAAUACUAUUCUACUCGAGGAUAGGAGAGGUUGGCGGAAUUCUGUGUGGAGCGGUGAAAUGCGUUGAUCUACAGAGGAACACCAAAAAAGGCGAAGGCGGCCAACUAUUCUAUUCCUGACAUUGAGGCAUGAAAGCGUGGGGAGCAAACCGG